This 406-nucleotide ribosomal RNA is filed under the name uncultured bacterium. Its description in RNAcentral is "partial 16S ribosomal RNA". It matches the Rfam family "Bacterial small subunit ribosomal RNA", at positions 30 to 526 of the family's 1533-position model. The record is from RNAcentral.
AUUGAACGCUGGCGGCAGGCCUAACACAUGCAAGUCGAACGAGUGGCGGACGGGUGAGUAAUUUCUUGGAAACUGCCUGAUGUAGGGGGAUAACUACUGUAACCGGUAGCUAAUACCGCUUACCAUCGUUUGUGCCCAGAUGGGAUUAGCUAGUAGGUGGGGUAAAGGCUCACCUAGGCGACGAUCCCUAGCUGGUCUGAGAGGAUGACCGGCCACACUGGAACUGAGACACGGUCCAGACUCCUACGGGAGGCAGCAGUGGGGAAUAUUGCACAAUGGGCGAAAGCCUGAUGCAGCAAUGCCGCGUGUAUGAAGAAGGCCUUCGGGUUGUAAAGUACUUUCAGCGGGGAGGCGGUACCCGCAGAAGAAGCACCGGCUAACUCCGUGCCAGCCGCCGCGGUAAUAC